GCCACCAAGGGAAUUUUAAGGAGGCAGAAUGACUAGACUGCAAUAAUCAUUGGUUCACGUUAAAGUAAAAAACCCCAAGCCUCUCCCAUGGCUGUGCUAUUCUGCUAAAGCCAGAGAGGAGGAGGAGGAGCUGGUUUAUUGAGCCCUGUACUAGUUCCCUGAGUAUUUUGGUUCUAUUCCUUUCUCUGGCUCAGGCUUCCUCAAGGACCCUGGAUGGGGAACCCACCUCAGACCUGAAUGCCUGGCUUGCCUCCAGCCUGGGUCAGAGCAACGUUCUCUGCAGUUACAACCGCUUGUGAAAAAUAAAGAGCUGCACCUGGAGACUGCUCAGAAACUCCAUCUGGUGCAGAAUACAUCUGUCCAUUUGCUUGGCAUUUCCCCACAGAGCAGCUCACACCCAUGCUCCAGUAUCAGCCCAGGUUUCCAGCUCAACUCCAGAUGCAAUCCAAGACUGUCCGGUUUGGCCAAUGUACAUGGCAGAGGGGCAUUGCUGGCACUUGUGUCCAUUCACAUGCAGGCAGUACAAUCACCACUAGAUGGAGUGCAGUCCUGAGGAGUCAGACCGACCUGCUAGAUAGAACAAAACAUCAAGAUACUGUUUAGUCUGAUUAAUACUAGUGUGUAGAUUACAGCAGUAUCUGGUCCAGUAUUUAAAGUGCUAUAUAAUAGCAACAGCAGUUAUGAUAGAGAGGCCCCAGGCCACAAAAUUCAAACUUUUAAUAUAAAUACCCCAGCCUGGGGAUGCUCAGCUCUGCUGUCAUGGUUUUGGCUAUUUGUAAAAUUCAGUUUCCUAGCCAGAUCUGUUUUUUUCUAACAUUCACCAUAAAGCUCCAGUCAGGGGGGUUGACUCAGACCUAUCACUAAUUAUAAUGGCGUUCAGGAUGUUGGUGUCCUUGUCUUGCCUUUAUUCAAUGCAGUUGUCUUACUUCAUAACUAUAAAAUAUUUGCCUGGGGCUCCCUUUUGCUAGCUUUAAUUUGUAUUGGUCACCCAGACUUUUAAUGAACACGGAAGUUUGAUUUCUGAUGUACUCUGCUGUUUGACGUGUUAGUGCAACUUUUAUGCUAUGCUGAUUGUUACUCGUUUGCAUGCAAUUUUUUUUAAAAUAAAUCUUUGCUGACCAUUUUAAUGCAACAAUUUUAUUACAAUUGUUGAAAUGGCAAACAGCCCACAGAGAGAUCAAAGGAGCCUUGCAAAAUGUAACUAUCUUUUCACACUAAACUACUAGUGCUUUUUCAUAUUCAGCUAUUCUUAAAUUAUUAAUUUCAUAUCAAGCCUCGCAGCCACUUUGAAACAAAAAACAUUAUCUGUCAAAAAAGAAAGGUGCAGUUGAGACCUGCACAAAGGGCUAACUUGUGAGCCACUGAACCACACUCAACUCGGGAGAGAAAAGCAAUGCAAGACGCCCCUAUGCUUCCUUG
Long non-coding RNA from Mauremys mutica (yellowpond turtle), 1419 nucleotides. RefSeq lists it as uncharacterized. The transcript is spliced from 3 exons. Lineage: Eukaryota; Metazoa; Chordata; Testudines; Geoemydidae. The record is from RefSeq and is a predicted model, not a curated record.